AUACAGAGGGUGCAAGCGUUAUUCGGAAUUACUGGGCGUAAAGCGCGCGUAGGCGGAUGAUUAAGUCAGUUGUGAAAGCCCUGGGCUCAACCUAGGAACUGCGUCUGAUACUGGUCGUCUAGAGUUUAAGAGAGGGAAGUGGAAUUCCAGGUGUAGCAGUGAAAUGCGUAGAUAUCUGGAGGAACAUCAGUGGCGAAGGCGACUUCCUGGCUUAAAACUGACGCUGAGGUGCGAAAGCGUGGGUAGCGAACGGGAGUAGAUACCCUAGUAGUCC
Molecule: ribosomal RNA, 274 nt
Filed under: uncultured bacterium
Lineage: Bacteria
Description: partial 16S ribosomal RNA
Rfam family: Bacterial small subunit ribosomal RNA
Source: RNAcentral